RNAcentral lists this long non-coding RNA (5295 nucleotides) under Homo sapiens (human). Its description in RNAcentral is "HSALNT0066541". Lineage: Eukaryota; Metazoa; Chordata; Mammalia; Primates; Hominidae. The record is from RNAcentral.
GGUAAUGAGUGAAGCCUUCCUUCCCGGCUUGUAGCCGGCAGCCUUCUUACUGUAUCCCGACUGGGAAGAAAGAGAGCUCUGCUAUCUCUUCUUCACCUUAUAAGGGCCCCAGCCCUAUCAGAUUAGGGCCCUAGCCUUCCAACCUCAUUUAACCUUUAUCACCACCUCCUCACAAGCCCUGUCUCCAAAGACAGGCACACCGGAGGUUUGGGCUUCCGCAUGAGUUUGAGAGACGUACAAACACUCAGUCCGUGAUAACUCUAUGCCUGAGGCUUUAGAGAAAGUCAAGCUGACCUAACAGGCAAAUUGGUAUCCAGAUAAAUUCUAUUACCUAUUUUCCCCAAUAAGUUCUUGAGAAAUAGCUGCUGCUCCCACCGUUGCAUGGUUGAUUGAGACUUACGAUUCAGGAAGGCGGUGGAUGCUUCUGUGUGGCUUCAGAAGGCAAUACUGGACCCACAAGGAGAGCUUUAGGGAGAACUAUUUCAACUCAACACAAGACAGAAGCUUCAGAGCUAGUCCUCAGGAACAUGGUGCUGAGGGAUGAAGUGAGCUUGCUCCUGUCACUGUGGGGGCGGGGUGGGGCGGUGGCAGUGGAGGCUGGACCUUUUUGUCAAGGAUGCUGUGUAGAAAAGGUCUGUUUUGACACAUAGACCAAUAGAACAGAGUAGAGAUCUCAGAUAUAAGACCACACAUCUACAACCAUCUCAUCUUUGGCAAACCUGACAAAGACAAACAAUGGGGAAAGGAUUCUCUAUUUCAUAAAUGGUGCUGGGAAAACUGGCCAGCCAUAUUCAGUAAACUGAAACUGGACCCCUUCCUUAUACCUUAUACAAAAAUUAACUCAAGAUGGAUUAAAGACUUAAAUGUAAAACCCAAAACCAUAAAAACCCUAGAAGAAAAUCCAGGCAGUACCAUUCAGGACAUAGGCAUGGGCAAAGAUUUUAUGAUGAAAUUGCCAAAAGCAAUUGCAAAAAAAGCAAAAAUUGACAAAUGGCAUCUAAUUAAACUAAAGCGCUUCUGUACAGCAAAAGAAACUAUCAUCAAGAGUGAACAGGAAACCUACAGAAUGAAAGAAAAUUUUUGCAAUCUACCCAUCUGACAAAGGUGUAAUAUCCAGAAUCUACAAGGAACUUAAACAAAUUUACAAGAAAAAACAACCCCAUCAAAAGGUGGGCCAAGGACAUGAACAGAGACUUCUCAAAAUAAAACAUUUAUGUAGCCAACAAGCAUAUGAAAAAAAGCUCAACAUCAGUGAUCAUUAGAGAAAUGCAAAUCAAAACCACAAUGAGGUACCAUCUCACGCCAGUCAGUAUGGCAACUGUUAAAAAGUCAAGAAACAACAGAUGCUGGCAAGGCUGUGGAGAAAUAGGAACGCUUUUACACUGUUGGUGGGAAUGUAAAUCAGUUCAACCAUUGUGGAAGACAGUGUGAUGAUUCCUCAAGGAUCUAGAACCAGAAAUAUCAUUUGACCCAGCAAUUCCAUUACUGGGUAUAUACCCAAAGUAAUAUAAAUCAUUCUAUUAUAAAGAUACAUGCGCACAUAUGUUUAUUGCCAUACUAUUUGUAAUAGCAAAGACAUGGAAUCAACCCAAAUGCCCAACAAUGAUAGACUGGAUAAAGAAAAUGUGGUACAUAUACCAUGAAAUACUAUGUAGCCAUAAAAAGGAAUGAGGCCAUGUCCUUUGCAGGGACAUGAAGCUGGAAGCGAUCAUUCGCAGCAAACUAACACAGGAACAGAAAACCAAACACUGCAUGUUCUCACUCAUAAGUGGGAGCUGAACAAUGAGAACACAUGGACAGAGGGAAGGGAACAACACACACCAGGGCCUGUGGGGAGUAGGGAGGGAAAACAUCAGGAUAAAUAGUUACUGCAUGCGGGGCUUCAUGCCUAGGUGAUGGGUUGGUAGGUGCGGCAAACCACCAUGGCACACGUUUACCUGUGUAACAAACCUGCACGUUCUGCACAUGUGUCCCAGAACUUAAAAUAAAAUAAAAUUUUAAAAAAGAAAGAAUGUUUCCUUGAUGAAGAUAUCUCUGCUUUUAAGAUGUAUCUGCAUUUUUAAUUACACUUCAGUACAAUUGACGUGCCAUUUAAGUAAUUAAUCUUCCACUAGAGGAAAGGAAAGGGAAGAGAAGGGAAGGGAACCAUCUAGUCUUUUACUUAUUAAUUUUUAUAUUAGUAAUUUUUAUGAUUAUGAGAAGAAUCUAUAAACCAUGUGAAGUGGAGAAAAUUUGGUUACUAGAGAAAAACAUGAAGUGGAAAAUAAAUACCACCUAUAACCCACCACACAUUUUGGCAAAUGUGUUUCCAGUCCAGUCUUUUUAUAUCAAUUAGAUAUGUACUUUUUUUAUUGAAAUAUAAUUCACAUACCACACAAUUCACUGGUUUCAAUUGUACCACUCAGUGGCUUUUACUAUAUUCACAGAGCUGUGCCACCAACCAUUGCCACAGUACAAUUUCAAACAUCUUCCCCAGCCUCUCAGAGAAACCUCCAUCCCUUUUAGCUGUCACCCUUUCAGCUGUCACCCCUUAACUUCCCUCAUCUCCUCCAUCUCCAGCCCUGGGAAACCAAGAAUCUACUUUGUGCUUGUAUGGAUUUGCCUAUUCUGGACAUUUCAUAUAAAUCGAAUCAUAUAAUAUGUGGGGGUUUUUUUGGUAACCAGCUUCUUUCACUUAGUAUAAUAUUUUCAAGGUUUAUUUGUGUUGUAACGUGAGUGCGCACCUCCUUCGUAUGGCUGAGUAAUAGUCUGGUGUUUGGGUAUAACACAAUUUUUAAUCCAUUCAUCACUUGAUAGACAUUUGGGACAUUUGGGUUGUUUGCGCUUUUUGGCUAUUAUGAAUAAUGUUACUAUGAACUUUUGGCACAAAUUUUUGCAUGGGUGUAUGUUUUCAUUUCUCUUGGUUAUAUACCUAGAAAUGGAAUAGAAUGGGCUUAUGUGGUAACUCUAUGUUUAACCUUUUGAGGAAUUGCCAGACUGUUUUCCAGAGUCUCUCCACUAUUUUACAUUUCCACCAGCAGCGUAUGAGAAUUCUGAUUUCUCCACACCCUCACCAACAAUUUUUAUUAUUUGUCUUUUUUAUGACAGCCAUCUAGUGUUAUAUAAUUUCAUUGUGGUUUUUAUUUGCAUUUCCCUGAUAGCUAAUGACUCAUCUUUUUAUGUGUUUAUUGAUCAUUGUAUAUAGUCUUAUGGAGAAAUAGCUUUCAGAUCUUUUGCCUUUAUUUAAAAAAAAAAGAGAGAACAAGUGUCUCUCUGUUGCUCAGGCUGGAGAGCAAUGGUACAAUCAUAGCUCACUGUAACCUCAAACACCUAGGCUCAAGCCAUCCUCCUACCUUAGCCUUCAGGGUAACUGGAACUAUAGGCAUGCAACAACAUUCCUGCCCAAAAAGAAAUUGAUGAGGACUCCUGGGCUUAAGCAGUUCUCCCGCCUCAGCCUCCCAAAGGGCUGGGAUUACAGGUGUGAGCCACUGCACCUAGUCUUUUGACCGUUUUCAGAUUGUGUUCAUUGUCUUUUUAGUAUUGAGUUUUAAGAGUUAUUUAUAUAUUCUAGAUACAAACCCCUUAUCAGAUAUAUGGUUUGCAAAAUUUUUCUCCCAUUCUUUUGGCUGUCUUUUAUACUUUCUUGGUGGUGUUCUUAGAAAUACAAAUAUUUUUAGUAUCAAUGAAAUCCAACUUAACUAUUUUUUCUUUUGUUGCUCAUGCUUUUGGAGUCAUAUCUAAGAAACCAUUGCCUAAUGCUAGGUCAUUAAGAUUUAUCCCAUCUUUUCUUUUAGGGGUUUUCAUAAUUUUAGCUUUACAUUUGAGUCUUUGAUCCAUUUUAAGUUAAUUUUUGUGAAUGGUGUGAGGAAUGGGAAAAUUUAUCCCAUGCCUCUCUCCUAGCUUCUGGCAGUUCUUGGCUUUUCUUAUAGAUAAAUCUUUCCAAUCUCUGCCUCUGGCUUCACAUGGCUCUCUCCUGUGUAUGUCUCUGUGUCUUCUCUUUUUCUGUCUCUUUAUCAGGAUUUAAGGCCCACUCUAAAUUCAGGAUGAUCUCAUCUCAAGAUCUUUAACUUAAUGACAUCUGCCAAGACCCAAUUUCCAAAUAAAGUCACAUCCACAGGUGCUAGGGGUUGGUAUUUGGAGUAUCUUUGGGAGGCACCACUCACACCUGUCCCGUGGUCUUCCUCUGAGGAUGGGUGAGGAGAAGAUCAGUUACUUACUCACUCAUCUGCUCACUCCUCCAACAGCUAUGCCAAAGGUCAUAGGAGGAUCCAGGGAUAUGAUAAUAAAUUGGAGAGGAUCCUUGCCCUGGAGAAUAUCACUAUUUGGAAGGGCUUUGGGAUAUGAAUAACAGAAACACAAGGAAAGGGAUGGUGAGAGCCAUAAGAUUCGGAAGCUGAAGGACUAAUGGAAGCAGCCCAGAGAGGGAAGGGCUUUCAAAGCAGAGGCUGACAUUGUCAGCAAAGGCAGAGGCUAGAGAGCAAAAAUAGGUCAGGAAUCCUUGCAACUGAGUUUGGCAGUAAUGGCGGGUGUGGGCGAGAGAGAGAGACAAAGAUAGAGAAGCAGUCACCCAGAAAACUCAGGCUCCAACUGCCAUAGUUUCUUUUAGGAUAUGUGAGGGUGGGCUGGGGUUUGCAGGACCACUUAUUCAUACCUUCGGGACCCUCCAAAACUGGCCUGGUAGUCUAGAACUCCAGGUAGGGAUCACCCUGAACUGAACCUGCAGCUAGAAGAUGUGGGCUGACCAUGAAUUCCAUAUACCUUCACAGGUGAAGUUGUAUGAGCCCAGAACCAGCUGAGUUCCCCAAUCCAGGCUCAUGCUAAAGCCAGUUCUGAUCAUCUCACUUCCUCAUUUGGCAAGAAAACGCCUCUGUCGCAAACCAAUUGCUGAGCUUCAUGUCUUUCAUGCAAAUUUUGCUAUAAAAUCCUGUCACAACAAACAGAACUGAGCUGCUCCUCGGAGCUCCAUGAACGUAGAUGGCAGGACUGUCUUACUUUUUGAGGUAGCAGUCACGACAGUUGUCAUGGGGUAAUAUUAUUGCUCCAGAGCCCUGUGGCCAGGGUCCUGCUGAGGGCUCCACACAGAGGGGACAGGGUGGCAUGUAGACAGAAGGCUCUCACUGACUGGACCUUGGGACCCUUGAGAUUCUGAGCCCAAGAGGUGUCACCCCACCCCAUUGGACCUUAUCGACGGCCUCUCCCCUGAAGAGCAAAGGCUGAGGGCAAAAAGGAAAACAGAUUAACAGCGCAAAAGCUCCCUGGGUCUUCAGCCAGGAGCGGCAAGUUCCUUACAAAUUUACACACAUGUGGCAGAAGCGU